AGUGAACGCUGGCGGUAGGCCUAACACAUGCAAGUCGAACGGCAGCACAGUAAGAGCUUGCUCUUACGGGUGGCGAGUGGCGGACGGGUGAGGAAUACAUCGGAAUCUACUUUUUCGUGGGGGAUAACGUAGGGAAACUUACGCUAAUACCGCAUACGACCUACGGGUGAAAGCAGGGGAUCUUCGGACCUUGCGCGAUUGAAUGAGCCGAUGUCGGAUUAGCUAGUUGGCGGGGUAAAGGCCCACCAAGGCGACGAUCCGUAGCUGGUCUGAGAGGAUGAUCAGCCACACUGGAACUGAGACACGGUCCAGACUCCUACGGGAGGCAGCAGUGGGGAAUAUUGGACAAAGGGCGCAAGCCUGAUCCAGCCAUACCGCGUGAGUGAAGAAGGCCUUCGGGUUGUAAAGCCCUUUUGUUGGGAAAGAAGAGCAGCAGGUUAAUACCCCGCUGUUCUGACGGUACCCAAAGAAUAAGCACCGGCUAACUUCGUG
This 492-nucleotide ribosomal RNA is filed under the name uncultured bacterium. RNAcentral's name for it is "partial 16S ribosomal RNA". It matches the Rfam family "Bacterial small subunit ribosomal RNA", at positions 29 to 507 of the family's 1533-position model. The record is from RNAcentral.